AAAAUAAAAAGAUUUGGCGGUAUUUUAGACUUUUCAGAGGAACUUGUCUUGUAAUUGAUAAUCCACGAUUUAAAUUACUUUUUUUUUAAUUUUUUUUUUCCCCUUUUUGGAAAUUUUUUUAAAAAUUUUAAUUUCCCAUUUUUUUAAUUAAAAAAUAAAUCAGAUCAAGAUGUAGUUAAUAAAAAAGUAAUGGUGAGUUACAUUUAUAUAAAGUAUAAGAAUAUAUAUAUAUAAAAUAUAUUGAAUUUGGAUUUGAAAGUAAUUUAAAUAAUUAUUU
RNAcentral lists this ribosomal RNA (277 nucleotides) under Lema (Lema) sp. YK41. RNAcentral describes it as "partial 12S rRNA". The record is from RNAcentral. Lineage: Eukaryota; Metazoa; Arthropoda; Insecta; Coleoptera; Chrysomelidae.